AUCUGUUUUUAUCAGUUUAAUAUCUGAUACAUCCCCUACCCGGGGACUGCAUAUUAAAUGGAUUUUUGGAUCACGGAGCUGGAGCCGGGGCUUGCUCCGUCCACUCUUUACACAUCGGCCUGGUAUUGCAGUGUCUGCAGGAAUGUUGU
Molecule: small nuclear RNA, 149 nt
Filed under: Sinocyclocheilus rhinocerous
Lineage: Eukaryota; Metazoa; Chordata; Actinopteri; Cypriniformes; Cyprinidae
Description: U2 spliceosomal RNA (ENSSRHG00000017692.1)
Rfam family: U2 spliceosomal RNA
About the family: U2 is a small nuclear RNA (snRNA) component of the spliceosome (involved in pre-mRNA splicing). Complementary binding between U2 snRNA (in an area lying towards the 5' end but 3' to hairpin I) and the branchpoint sequence (BPS) of the intron results the bulging out of an unpaired adenosine, on the BPS, which initiates a nucleophilic attack at the intronic 5' splice site, thus starting the first of two transesterification reactions that mediate splicing.
Source: RNAcentral